Molecule: long non-coding RNA, 208 nt
Filed under: Malus domestica (apple)
Lineage: Eukaryota; Viridiplantae; Streptophyta; Magnoliopsida; Rosales; Rosaceae
Description: long non-coding RNA (MDOM_LNC010892)
Source: RNAcentral
ACCCGCUAUUCGGAAAAUUGAUCAUGAAAGAAGAUCUAACUCUGGCAGACUUUUUUGCUUUGGCAGAGAAGUAUGCACUUUGGGAUGAGGCUCGCCAAUGCACAUUCAAGGACUUGAAGAAGUACCCGACAUCACCUCCCUAGAACCAACGGAAGACUUAUUCACAUGUUUGACGGUAUCUAAAGUAGCAAUAAGCUCUACCAUCAUG